Molecule: long non-coding RNA, 785 nt
Filed under: Lactuca sativa (garden lettuce)
Lineage: Eukaryota; Viridiplantae; Streptophyta; Magnoliopsida; Asterales; Asteraceae
Description: long non-coding RNA (LSAT_LNC009454)
Source: RNAcentral
AUACACACUUCAACUAUCGUCUGCCACUACCACCGUGUCCUUCACUUCCUUUUUUUGUAAAUUGAUUUUUCUGUUAACCUCUACCAUCUCCUUCUUCUCCACACACACGAAAUCAAAUCUGAUGAAGGAUUUUCAGACGAACACCUUCAAGAAGAAAAAAUCAGAUCGAGUGCGUGGGUCUCCGAUCUCCUCCUCGGAUCACAAGCUCCUCGCCACCUAGUAGGUCUUCUCUUUUAGCGAAGACAAGCUCAAGGAGAUGAUGAUUUUCAGAUCUGAGGACCUCGUUUUCAGAUCCGAGUAUCUCGUUUGCAGAUCUGGUAGCGGUGACGAGCUUAAGGUUUUUUCUUCUCCGGUGGUGGUGGCAAUGACGAUGAUGGAGCUGAAAAUCUGGUUCGUCUUCUCCGGUAUUUUUAUGAAGAUGGUGGCGAUAAUCUGAAUCUUUGCCUGAGAAAGGGGGUAGGGGAGACCGAGAUCAAGAUCAAAGUUCCGGUAAGCUUGAUAAUCAGAAUCUUUUCCUGAUUGUCUUCACAUCAAACUCACUCACACACACAUACUUGAGUCGCAGGAUUUGGUUGUACCCUAUGAGUUUGAGAAAUUUGGUUUUAAUUGUUGAUGCAGAAUCGAUUUUCCUGGUGGGUUCAUCCCAAUGACAUGAUUUUGAAGUGUAUGAGUUAAUCUAUGUUGUAUGAAUCGAGUGUUUGAGAAGGGAGAAAUCAGAUUUAUGAUGCUAGGAACGAUUAUUUUCAAAAAAGAAAUCAGAUGCUUGUUGUUGAUGGAUAUGAUUC